AGACGGGGCCCGCACAAGGCGGUGGAGCAUUGGUUGGUUUAAUUCGAAGCAACGCGAAGAACCUUACCUAGGUCUUGACAUCCCGAUGCUUAUUUCUAGAGAUAGAAAGUUACUUCGGUACAUCGGUGACAGGUGGUGCAUGGUUGUCGUCAGCUCGUGUCGUGAGAUGUUGGGUUAAGUCCCGCAACGAGCGCAACCCCUAUUGUUAGUUGCCAUCAUUCAGUUGGGCACUCUAGCGAGACUGCCGGUAAUAAACCGGAGGAAGGUGGGAUGACGUCAAAUCAUCAUGCCCCUUAUGACCUGGGCUACACACGUGCUACAAUGGUUGGUACAACGAGUUGCGAGUCGGUGACGGCGAGCUAAUCUCUUAAAGCCAAUCUCAGUUCGGAUUGUAGGCUGCAACUCGCCUACAUGAAGUCGGAAUCGCUAGUAAUCGCGGAUCAGCAACGCUGCGGUGAAUACGUUCCCGGGCCUU
This 475-nucleotide ribosomal RNA is filed under the name uncultured Streptococcus sp. RNAcentral describes it as "bacterial SSU rRNA". It matches the Rfam family "Bacterial small subunit ribosomal RNA", at positions 916 to 1381 of the family's 1533-position model. Lineage: Bacteria; Bacillati; Bacillota; Bacilli; Lactobacillales; Streptococcaceae. The record is from RNAcentral.